UACGUAGGGACCGAGCGUUGUCCGGAUUCAUUGGGCGUAAAGAGCUCGUAGGCGGCUGUUCAAGUCGAACGUGAAAACUCGGGGCUCAACUCCGAGCCUGCGUUCGAUACUGGAUGGCUAGAGUCUGGUAGGGGGAUCUGGAAUUCCAGGUGUAGCGGUGAAAUGCGUAGAUAUCUGGAGGAACACCGGUGGCGAAGGCGGCAUCCUGGACCAAUAUUGACGCUGAGGAGCGAAAGCCAGGGGAGCAAACGGG
This 253-nucleotide ribosomal RNA is filed under the name uncultured bacterium. Its description in RNAcentral is "partial 16S ribosomal RNA". It matches the Rfam family "Bacterial small subunit ribosomal RNA", at positions 524 to 776 of the family's 1533-position model. The record is from RNAcentral.